UACAGAGGGUGCGAGCGUUAAUCGGAAUUACUGGGCGUAAAGCGUGCGUAGACGGUUAUUUAAGUCGGGUGUGAAAGCCCCGGGCUCAACCUGGGAAUUGCAUUCGAGACUGAAUAGCUAGGGUACGGUAGAGGGAAGUGGAAUUUCCGGUGUAGCGGUGAAAUGCGCAGAUAUCAGGAGGAACACCGGUGGCGAAGGCGGGUCUCUGGGCAACAACUGACGCUGAGGAGCGAAAGCGUGGGGAGCGAACAGG
RNAcentral lists this ribosomal RNA (253 nucleotides) under uncultured bacterium. RNAcentral's name for it is "partial 16S ribosomal RNA". It matches the Rfam family "Bacterial small subunit ribosomal RNA", at positions 524 to 776 of the family's 1533-position model. The record is from RNAcentral.